GUUCACGUCUUCCCUUCUCUAGUAAACUUACAUACCCUUCCUAUCCCAAGUUCCCAGACAUGGUGCCAAAACUACCCCCAAAUGAAGUGUUCUCGAGAAAUUUUCCUACGAAUGAGACAGAUCUACCUCCCUCAUUUUCCUUCUCAACCUUGAGCCAAGAGGUGGUGCCAAGACUACCCUCAACCGAAAAAGUUUCAAGAAUUUUUCCUACAAAUGAGACAAACCCACCUCCCUCAUUUUCCUUCUCAACCUUGAGCCCCGAGGUGGUGCCAAGACUACCCUCAACUGAAGUAUUCCCGAGAAACAUUCCUACGAAUGAGGCAGGUAUUCCUCCUUCAUUCGCCUUACGUAAUGAUCCUCAUAUCAGACCAAAUAUGUAUAGAGGUUGAUAUUGUUCAC
This 399-nucleotide long non-coding RNA is filed under the name Solanum lycopersicum (tomato). RNAcentral's name for it is "long non-coding RNA (SLYC_LNC000860)". The record is from RNAcentral. Lineage: Eukaryota; Viridiplantae; Streptophyta; Magnoliopsida; Solanales; Solanaceae.